This 466-nucleotide ribosomal RNA is filed under the name uncultured bacterium. RNAcentral's name for it is "bacterial SSU rRNA". It matches the Rfam family "Bacterial small subunit ribosomal RNA", at positions 8 to 518 of the family's 1533-position model. The record is from RNAcentral.
AGAGUUGAUCCUGGCUCAGAGCGAACGCUGGCGGCAGGCUUAACACAUGCAAGUCGAACGCUCGUGGCAACACGGGAGUGGCAGACGGGUGAGUAACGCGUGGGAACAUGCCCUUUGGUUCGGAAUAACUCAGGGAAACUUGAGCUAAUACCGGAUGAGCCCGAGAGGGGAAAGAUUUAUCGCCGAAGGAUUGGCCCGCGUCCGAUUAGCUAGUUGGUGAGGUAACGGCUCACCAAGGCGACGAUCGGUAGUUGGUCUGAGAGGAUGAUCAGCCACACUGGGACUGAGACACGGCCCAGACUCCUACGGGAGGCAGCAGUGGGGAAUACUGGACAAUGGGGGCAACCCUGAUCCCAGCCAUGCCGCGUGAGUGAUGAAGGCCUUAGGGUUGUAAAGCUCUUUCGGCGGGGACGAUAAUGACGGUACCCGCAGAAGAAGCCCCGGCUAACUUCGUGCCAGCCGCAGC